Molecule: ribosomal RNA, 253 nt
Filed under: uncultured bacterium
Lineage: Bacteria
Description: partial 16S ribosomal RNA
Rfam family: Bacterial small subunit ribosomal RNA
Source: RNAcentral
UACGUAGGGGGCAAGCGUUGUCCGGAUUCAUUGGGCGUAAAGAGCGUGUAGGCGGCCAGGUAGGUCGGUUGUGAAAACUGGAGGCUCAACCUUCAGAGGUCGACCGAAACCAUCUGGCUAGAGUCCGGGAGAGGAGAGUGGAAUUCCUGGUGUAGCGGUGAAAUGCGCAGAUAUCAGGAAGAACACCCGUGGCGAAGGCGGCUCUCUGGGACGGUACUGACGCUGAGGAGCGAAAGCCAGGGGAGCAAACGGG